Molecule: ribosomal RNA, 851 nt
Filed under: uncultured bacterium
Lineage: Bacteria
Description: bacterial SSU rRNA
Rfam family: Bacterial small subunit ribosomal RNA
Source: RNAcentral
UGCUACCUGCAGUCGACGCGAAAGUCCCGCAAGGGAUUAGUAGAGUGGCAAACGGGUGAGUAACACGUGGGUGACCUGCCUUCGAGUGGGGGAUAACGUCCCGAAAGGGUCGCUAAUACCGCAUAACAUCCUGCCUUUUAAGAGGUGGAGAUCAAAGCCGGGGAUCGCAAGACCUGGCGCUUGAAGAGGGGCCCGCGUCCGAUUAGCUAGUUGGUGGGGUAAUGGCUCACCAAGGCUUCGAUCGGUAUCCGGCCUGAGAGGGCGGACGGACACACUGGGACUGAGGCACGGCCCAGGCUCCUACGGGAGGCAGCAGUGGGGAAUUGUUCGCAAUGGGCGCAAGCCUGACGACGCAACGCCGCGUGGAGGAUGAAGAUCUUCGGGUCGUAAACUCCUUUCGAUCGAGACGAAUGGCCUUCGGGUGAACAGUCCGGAGGAAUGACGGUACCGAGAGAAGAAGCCCCGGCUAACUCCGUGCCAGCAGCCGCGGUAAUACGGGGGGGGCAAGCGUUGUUCGGAAUUACUGGGCGUAAAGGGCUCGUAGGUGGCCAACUAAGUCGGACGUGAAAUCCCUCGGCUUAACCGGGGAACUGCAUCCGAUACUGGAUGGCUUGAGUUCGGGAGAGGGAUGCGGAAUUCCAGGUGUAGCGGUGAAAUGCGUAGAUAUCUGGAGGAACACCGGUGGCGAAGGCGGCAUCCUGGACCGACACUGACACUGAGGAGCGAAAGCCAGGGGAGCAAACGGGAUUAGAUACCCCGGUAGUCCUGGCCCUAAACGAUGAAUGCUUGGUGUGGCGGGUAUCGAUCCCUGCCGUGCCGAAGCUAACGCAUUAAAGCAUUCCCCCCUGGGG